GCUUUCAUUGGAGGGCAAGUCUGGUGCCAGCAGCCGCGGUAAUUCCAGCUCCAAAAGCGUAUAUUAAAGUUGUUGCAGUUAAAAAGCUCGUAGUUGAACCUUGGGCUUGGCUGGCCGGUCCAUCUUUUUUGAUGCGUACUGGACCCAGCCGAGCCUUUCCUUCUGGCUAGCCUUUUGGCGAACCAGGACUUUUACUUUGAAAAAAUUAGAGUGUUCAAAGCAGGCCUUUGCUCGAAUAUAUUAGCAUGGAAUAAUAGAAUAGGACGUUAUGGUUCUAUUUUGUUGGUUUCUAGGACCAUCGUAAUGAUUAAUAGGGACGGUCGGGGGUAUCAGUAUUCAGUUGUCAGAGGUGAAAUUCUUGGAUUUACUGAAGACUAACUACUGCGAAAGCAUUUACCAAGGACGUUUUCAUUAAUCAAGAACGAAAGUUAGGGGAUCGAAGAUGAUCUAGAUACGGUGCGACUUUUCAGGG
Molecule: ribosomal RNA, 472 nt
Filed under: Lodderomyces orthopsilosis
Lineage: Eukaryota; Fungi; Ascomycota; Pichiomycetes; Serinales; Debaryomycetaceae
Description: SSU rRNA
Rfam family: Eukaryotic small subunit ribosomal RNA
Source: RNAcentral